This 484-nucleotide ribosomal RNA is filed under the name uncultured bacterium. RNAcentral's name for it is "partial 16S ribosomal RNA". It matches the Rfam family "Bacterial small subunit ribosomal RNA", at positions 30 to 507 of the family's 1533-position model. The record is from RNAcentral.
AUUGAACGCUAGCGGGAUGCUUUACACAUGCAAGUCGAACGGCAGCGCGGACUUCGGUCUGGCGGCGAGUGGCGAACGGGUGAGUAAUGUAUCGGAACGUGCCCAGUAGCGGGGGAUAACUACGCGAAAGCGUAGCUAAUACCGCAUACGCCCUACGGGGGAAAGCAGGGGAUCGUAAGACCUUUCACUAUUGGAUCGUCCGAUAUCGGAUUAGCUAGUUGGUGAGGUAACGGCUCACCAAGGCGACUAUCCGUAGCUGGUUUGAGAGGACGACCAGCCACACUGGGACUGAGACACGGCCCAGACUCCUACGGGAGGCAGCAGUGGGGAAUUUUGGACAAUGGGGGAAACCCUGAUCCAGCCAACCCGCGUGUGAGAUGAAGGCCUUCGGGUUGUAAAGCACUUUUGGCAGGAAAGAAACGUAGCGGGCUAAUACCCCGUGGAACUGACGGUACCUGCAGAAUAAGCACCGGCUAACUACGUG